CCUACGGGAGGCUGCAGUGGGGAAUAUUGGACAAUGGGGGGAACCCUGAUCCAGCCAUGCCGCGUGUGUGAAGAAGGCCCUCGGGUUGUAAAGCACUUUCAGUGAGGAAGAACGCCUGGUGGUUAAUACCCAUCAGGAAAGACAUCACUCACAGAAGAAGCACCGGCUAACUCCGUGCCAACAGCCGCGGUAAUACGGAGGGUGCGAGCGUUAAUCGGAAUUACUGGGCGUAAAGCGCGCGUAGGUGGCUUGAUAAGCCGGUUGUGAAAGCCCCGGGCUCAACCUGGGAACGGCAUCCGGAACUGUCAAGCUAGAGUGCAGGAGAGGAAGGUAGAAUUCCCGGUGUAGCGGUGAAAUGCGUAGAGAUCGGGAGGAAUACCAGUGGCGAAGGCGGCCUUCUGGACUGACACUGACACUGAGGUGCGAAAGCGUGGGUAGCAAACAGGAUUAGAUACCCUGGUAGUC
RNAcentral lists this ribosomal RNA (465 nucleotides) under Vreelandella stevensii. RNAcentral's name for it is "partial 16S ribosomal RNA". It matches the Rfam family "Bacterial small subunit ribosomal RNA", at positions 338 to 795 of the family's 1533-position model. The record is from RNAcentral. Lineage: Bacteria; Pseudomonadati; Pseudomonadota; Gammaproteobacteria; Oceanospirillales; Halomonadaceae.